RNAcentral lists this long non-coding RNA (332 nucleotides) under Lathyrus oleraceus (garden pea). RNAcentral describes it as "Pisum sativum (pea) long non-coding RNA (PSAT_LNC029986)". Lineage: Eukaryota; Viridiplantae; Streptophyta; Magnoliopsida; Fabales; Fabaceae. The record is from RNAcentral.
CUUAUGCAUAAAUCCAAAGUACCUUAAAUGAUCCAUGAUCAAUUAGGAGGUAAAUUUGAAAUGAUUAAAGUUCAUCAAGCAUCAAUCCACACAUCAUGAUAAAAAUGGACACAAACCAUACAAUUGAUUAAAAGAAAAAAAGAGAUGAUGAAGAAGAGGACAAGAGAGAUCACACCCAAAUUGGAUCAAAGGCUUGAUCAAGUCACCAUCAAGAGAUGAUGAAACCAAUGUUAAAAUCAACUAAGAUCCAAGGCUAACAGAUAUAAAAUAUAAAGAAAAAUAAGAUAAAAUGCAUUAAAACAAUUUUAAAAUGAAUUUUAAAAGGGAAAAAA